CCUACGGGAGGCAGCAGUGGGGAAUUUUCCGCGAUGGGCGAAAGCCUGACGGAGCAAUACCGCGUGAGGGAUGACGGCCUAUGGGUUGUAAACCUCUUUUUUCAGGGAGGAAUAAAUGACGUGUACCUGAGGAAUAAGCAUCGGCUAACUCCGUGCCAGCAGCCGCGGUAAGACGGAGGAUGCAAGUGUUAUCCGGAAUCACUGGGCGUAAAGCGUCUGUAGGUGGUCAAAUAAGUCAACUGUUAAAUCUUGAGGCUCAACCUCAAAAUCGCAGUCGAAACUAUUAGACUAGAGUAUAGUAGGGGUAAAGGGAAUUUCCAGUGGAGCGGUGAAAUGCGUAGAGAUUGGAAAGAACACCGAUGGCGAAGGCACUUUACUGGGCUAUUACUAACACUGAGAGACGAAAGCUAGGGUAGCAAAUGGGAUUAGAUACCCCAGUAGUCCUAGCCGUAAACAAUGGAUACUAGAUGUUGAACAGAUCGACCUGUGCAGUAUCAAAGCUAACGCGUUAAGUAUCCCGCCUGGGAAGUAUGCUCGCAAGAGUGAAACUCAAAGGAAUUGACGGA
Molecule: ribosomal RNA, 566 nt
Filed under: uncultured bacterium
Lineage: Bacteria
Description: bacterial SSU rRNA
Rfam family: Bacterial small subunit ribosomal RNA
Source: RNAcentral